RNAcentral lists this small nuclear RNA (79 nucleotides) under Mus caroli (Ryukyu mouse). The record is from RNAcentral. Lineage: Eukaryota; Metazoa; Chordata; Mammalia; Rodentia; Muridae.
GUGCUCAUUUAGGAAGCACAUAUUCUAAAAUUGGAAAAAUACAAAAAAGAUUAGCAUGUCCCCUGCACAAGAAUGAUAU